Molecule: ribosomal RNA, 445 nt
Filed under: uncultured bacterium
Lineage: Bacteria
Description: partial 16S ribosomal RNA
Rfam family: Bacterial small subunit ribosomal RNA
Source: RNAcentral
GUGAGGAAUAUUGGACAAUGGGCGCAAGCCUGAUCCAGCCAUGCCGCGUGCAGGAAGACGCAUCUAUGGUGUGUAAACUGCUUUUGUACGGGAAGAAACACUCCCUCGUGAGGGAGCUUGACGGUACCGUUAGAAUAAGGAUCGGCUAACUCCGUGCCAGCAGCCGCGGUAAUACGGAGGAUCCAAGCGUUAUCCGGAAUCAUUGGGUUUAAAGGGUCCGUAGGCGGUUUAAUAAGUCAGUGGUUAAAGCCCAUCGCUCAACGAUGGAACGGCCAUUGAUACUGUUAGACUUGAAUUACAAGGAAGUAACUAGAAUAUGUAGUGUAGCGGUGAAAUGCUUAGAUAUUACAUGGAAUACCAAUUGCGAAGGCAGGUUACUACUUGUGGAUUGACGCUGAUGGACGAAAGCGUGGGGAGCGAACAGGAUUAGAAACCCUUGUAGUCC